UACGGGAGGCAGCAGUGGGGAAUAUUGCACAAUGGGCGCAAGCCUGAUGCAGCCAUGCCGCGUGUAUGAAGAAGGCCUUCGGGUUGUAAAGUACUUUCAGUCGUGAGGAAGGUGUUAAGGUUAAUAACCUUAGCAAUUGACGUUAGCGACAGAAGAAGCACCGGCUAACUCCGUGCCAGCAGCCGCGGUAAUACGGAGGGUGCGAGCGUUAAUCGGAAUUACUGGGCGUAAAGGGCACGCAGGCGGUUAAUUAAGUUGGAUGUGAAAUCCCCGGGCUUAAACCUGGGAAUGGCAUUCAAGACUGGUUAGCUAGAGUCUUGUAGAGGGGGUAGAAUUCCAUGUGUAGCGGUGAAAUGCGUAGAGAUGUGGAGGAAUACCGGUGGCGAAGGCGGCCCCUGGACAAAGACUGACGCUCAUGUGCGAAAGCGUGGGGAGCAAAAC
Molecule: ribosomal RNA, 441 nt
Filed under: uncultured bacterium
Lineage: Bacteria
Description: bacterial SSU rRNA
Rfam family: Bacterial small subunit ribosomal RNA
Source: RNAcentral